RNAcentral lists this ribosomal RNA (503 nucleotides) under uncultured bacterium. RNAcentral describes it as "bacterial SSU rRNA". It matches the Rfam family "Bacterial small subunit ribosomal RNA", at positions 107 to 607 of the family's 1533-position model. The record is from RNAcentral.
UGAGUAAUGUCUGGGAAACUGCCUGAUGGAGGGGGAUAACUACUGGAAACGGUAGCUAAUACCGCGUAACGUCGCAAGACCAAAGAGGGGGACCUUCGGGCCUCUUGCCAUCGGAUGUGCCCAGAUGGGAUUAGCUAGUAGGUGGGGUAACGGCUCACCUAGGCGACGAUCCCUAGCUGGUCUGAGAGGAUGACCAGCCACACUGGAACUGAGACACGGUCCAGACUCCUACGGGAGGCAGCAGUGGGGAAUAUUGCACAAUGGGCGCAAGCCUGAUGCAGCCAUGCCGCGUGUAUGAAGGAGGCCUUCGGGUUGUAAAUCUUUUCAGCGGGGAGGAAGGGAGUAAAGUUAAUACCUUUGCUCAUUGACGUUACCCGCAGAAGAAGCACCGGCUAACUCCGUGCCAGCAGCCGCGGUAAUACGGAGGGUGCAAGCGUUAAUCGGAAUUACUGGGCGUAAAGCGCACGCAGGCGGUUUGUUAAGUCAGAUGUGAAAUCCCCGGG